Small nucleolar RNA from Cynara cardunculus var. scolymus (artichoke), 88 nucleotides. RefSeq annotates it as small nucleolar RNA snoR14. The record is from RefSeq and is a predicted model, not a curated record. NCBI's taxonomy places the organism in Eukaryota, Viridiplantae, Streptophyta, Magnoliopsida, Asterales, Asteraceae. The transcript has a single exon.
GCGUGUGAAGAUAGAAUUCAUUGGUCUGUCAAUCCACUGACGAAUUUCGAUUGAUGUUAAACAAUGAAUCCCGACAGGUUCUGAUCGC